Molecule: ribosomal RNA, 253 nt
Filed under: uncultured bacterium
Lineage: Bacteria
Description: partial 16S ribosomal RNA
Rfam family: Bacterial small subunit ribosomal RNA
Source: RNAcentral
UACAGAGGUCUCAAGCGUUGUUCGGAUUCAUUGGGCGUAAAGGGUGCGUAGGCGGCGCGGUAAGUCGGGUGUGAAAUCUCGGAGCUUAACUCCGAAACUGCAUUCGAUACUGCCGUGCUUGAGGACUGGAGAGGAGACUGGAAUUUACGGUGUAGCGGUGAAAUGCGUAGAUAUCGUAAGGAAGACCAGGGGCGAAGGCGGGUCUCUGGACAGUUCCUGACGCUGAGGCACGAAGGUCAGGGGAGCAAACAGG